CUAGUGCUGUUGUCGCUCUAUCUUCUUGAAUAUACCAAGGGGAGCGAGAGAACCCUCGUUAAGGAAUUAGGCAAAUUUCCCCCGUACGUUCGCAAUAAGGGGGGCCUCUGGUGGUGAGCUUAAUCGCAAAGCUGCUGGAGGCCGCAGAGAAAUGGCUCUUCCAACUGUUUAACAAAAACACAGGUCUCUGCUAAGUCGAAAGACGAAGUAUAGGGGCUGACGCCUGCCCAGUGCUGGAAGGUUAAGGGGAGAGGUUAGGCGCAAGCCGAAGCUUUGAGCCGAAGCCCCAGUGAACGGCGGCCGUAACGAUAACGGUCCUAAGGUAGCGAAAUUCCUUGUCGGGUAAGGUCCGACCCGCACGAAUGGCGUAAUGAGAGGAGCACUGUCUCAACGAGGGACUCGGCGAACAUUGAAGGACGUGUGAAGAUACACGUGACCCGCAGCGGGACAAAAAGACCCCGUGAAGCUUUACUACAACUUGCCAUUGAGUUAGGGCUAAACCUGUGUAGUAUAGGUGGGAGGCUUUGAAGCUGGGACGCCAGUCUCGGUGGAGUCACCGUUGGAAUACCACCCUGGUUUAUUCUUGGCUCUAACCUGUCGCCGUUAUCCGGCAUGGGAACAGUGGCUGGUGGGUAGUUUGACUGGGGCGGUCGCCUCCGAAAGCGUAACAGAGGCGCCCAAAGGUUCCCUCAGGCUGAAUGGAAACCAGCCGUUGAGUGUAAAGGCACAAGGGAGCUUGACUGCAAGACCAACAAGUCGCGCAGGGACGAAAGUCGGGCUUAGUGAUCCCACGGUUCAGAGUGGAAUGGCCGUGGCUUACCGGAUAAAAGCUACUCCGGGGAUAACCGGGUAGUCUGGUCCAAGAGUUCAUAUCGACGACCAGGUUCGCCACCUCGAUGUCGGCUCAUCACAUCCUGGGGCUGGAUAAGGUCCCAAGGGUUGGGCUGUUCGCCCAUUAAAGUGGUACGUGAGCUGGGUUCAGACCGUCGUGAGACAGGUCGGUCUCUAUCCGCUGUGGGCGUAAGGGAUUUGAGAGAAGCUGCCCCUAGUACGAGAGGACCGGGGUGGACGGACCUCUAGUGUGCCAGUUGUUCUGCCAAGAGCAUUGCUGGGUAGCUACGUCCGGCAGAGAUAACCGCUGAAAGCAUCUAAGUGGGAAACUCGUCUCAAGAUUAGAUCCCUCAUCCGUAUGGAGUAAGACCGCUAGAAGACUACUAGUUUGAUAGGCGGCAGGUGUAAGCGCAGUAAUGUGUUCAGCUUAGCCGUACUAAUGGUCGAGGGCUUACGUUU
RNAcentral lists this ribosomal RNA (1290 nucleotides) under metagenome. RNAcentral describes it as "bacterial LSU rRNA". It matches the Rfam family "Bacterial large subunit ribosomal RNA", at positions 1641 to 2925 of the family's 2925-position model. The record is from RNAcentral.